UACGUAGGGGGCAAGCGUUGUCCGGAAUCAUUGGGCGUAAAGCGCGCGUAGGCGGCCCGGUAAGUCCGUUGUGAAAGUCAAAGGCUCAACCUUUGAACGCCGAUGGAUACUGCCGGGCUAGAGUCCGGAAGAGGCGAGUGGAAUUCCUGGUGUAGCGGUGGAAUGCGCAGAUAUCAGGAGGAACACCAAUAGCGAAGGCAGCUCGCUGGGACGGUACUGACGCUGAGGCGCGAAAGCUAGGGGAGCAAACAGG
RNAcentral lists this ribosomal RNA (253 nucleotides) under uncultured bacterium. RNAcentral's name for it is "partial 16S ribosomal RNA". It matches the Rfam family "Bacterial small subunit ribosomal RNA", at positions 524 to 776 of the family's 1533-position model. The record is from RNAcentral.